GACGAACGCUGGCGGCGUGCUUAACACAUGCAAGUCGAACGGAAAGGCCCUGCUUUUGUUGGGUGCUCGAGUGGCGAACGGGUGAGUAACACGUGAGUAACCUGCCCUUGACUUUGGGAUAACUUCAGGAAACUGGGGCUAAUACCGGAUAGGAGCUCCUGCUGCUUGGUGGGGGUUGGAAAGUUUGGGCGGUUGGGGAUGGACUCGCGGCUUAUCAGCUUGUUGGUGGGGUAGUGGCAUUCCAAGGCUUUGACGGGUAGCCGGCCUGAGAGGGUGACCGGCCACAUUGGGACUGAGAUACGGCCCAGACUCCUACGGGAGGCAGCAGUGGGGAAUAUUUCAGAAUGGGCGGAAGCCUGAUGCAGCAACGCCGCGUGCGGGAUGACGGCCUUCGGGUUGUAAACCGCUUUCGCCUGUGACGAAGCGUGAGUGACGGUAAUGGGUAAAGAAGCACCGGCUAACUACGUG
This 468-nucleotide ribosomal RNA is filed under the name uncultured bacterium. RNAcentral's name for it is "partial 16S ribosomal RNA". It matches the Rfam family "Bacterial small subunit ribosomal RNA", at positions 28 to 507 of the family's 1533-position model. The record is from RNAcentral.